This 784-nucleotide ribosomal RNA is filed under the name uncultured bacterium. RNAcentral describes it as "SSU rRNA". It matches the Rfam family "Bacterial small subunit ribosomal RNA", at positions 73 to 853 of the family's 1533-position model. The record is from RNAcentral.
GCGGGGGCAACCCUGGCGGCGAGCGGCGGACGGGUGAGCAAUAUUUGGGAAUCUGCCUAUUAGUGGGGGACAACCCGGGGAAACUCGGGCUAAUACCGCAUACGCACUACGGUGGAAAGUCGGGGACCGCAAGGCCUGACGCUAAUAGAUGAGCCCAAAUCGGAUUAGCUAGUUGGUGAGGUAAUGGCUCACCAAGGCUACGAUCCGUAGCUGGUCUGAGAGGACGACCAGCCACACCGGAACUGAGACACGGUCCGGACUCCUACGGGAGGCAGCAGUGGGGAAUAUUGGACAAUGGGCGAAAGCCUGAUCCAGCGACGCCGCGUGGGUGAAGAAGGCCUGCGGGUUGUAAAGCCCUUUCGGUGGGGAAGAAAAGCCUCGAGUUAACACCUCGGGGUCUUGACGUAACCCAUAGAAGAAGCACCGGCUAACUCUGUGCCAGCAGCCGCGGUAAUACAGAGGGUGCGAGCGUUAAUCGGAAUUACUGGGCGUAAAGCGCGCGUAGGCGGCUUUGCAAGUCGGGUGUGAAAUCCCCAGGCUUAACCUGGGAACUGCAUUCGAGACUGCAUUGCUAGAGUAUGGGAGAGGGAAGUGGAAUUUCCGGUGUAGCGGUGAAAUACGUAGAUAUCGGAAGGAACAUCAGUGGCGAAAGCGACUUCCUGGACCAAUACUGACGCUCAUGUGCGAAAGCGUGGGGAGCAAACAGGAUUAGAUACCCUGGUAGUCCACGCCAUAAACGAUGACAACUGGAUGUCGGGAGGGUCUGCCUCUCGGUGUCGUAGCU